UACGUAGGGGGCAAGCGUUGUCCGGAAUUAUUGGGCGUAAAGCGCGCGCAGGCGGUCUCUUAAGUCUGAUGUGAAAGCCCACGGCUCAACCGUGGAGGGUCAUUGGAAACUGGGGGACUUGAGUGUAGGAGAGGAAAGUGGAAUUCCACGUGUAGCGGUGAAAUGCGUAGAUAUGUGGAGGAACACCAGUGGCGAAGGCGACUUUCUGGCCUACAACUGACGCUGAGGUGCGAAAGCGUGGGGAGCAAACAGG
RNAcentral lists this ribosomal RNA (253 nucleotides) under uncultured bacterium. RNAcentral's name for it is "partial 16S ribosomal RNA". It matches the Rfam family "Bacterial small subunit ribosomal RNA", at positions 524 to 776 of the family's 1533-position model. The record is from RNAcentral.